UACGUAGGGUGCGAGCGUUGUCCGGAUUUAUUGGGCGUAAAGAGCUCGUAGGCGGUUUGUCGCGUCGGCCGUGAAAACUCGGGGCUUAACCCCGGGCCUGCAGUGGGUACGGGCAGACUAGAGUGCGGUAGGGGAGACUGGAAUUCCUGGUGUAGCGGUGAAAUGCGCAGAUAUCAGGAGGAACACCGGUGGCGAAGGCGGGUCUCUGGGCCGUAACUGACGCUGAGGAGCGAAAGCGUGGGGAGCGAACAGG
Molecule: ribosomal RNA, 253 nt
Filed under: uncultured bacterium
Lineage: Bacteria
Description: partial 16S ribosomal RNA
Rfam family: Bacterial small subunit ribosomal RNA
Source: RNAcentral